RNAcentral lists this ribosomal RNA (384 nucleotides) under uncultured bacterium. RNAcentral describes it as "bacterial SSU rRNA". It matches the Rfam family "Bacterial small subunit ribosomal RNA", at positions 30 to 414 of the family's 1533-position model. The record is from RNAcentral.
AUUGAACGCUGGCGGCAUGCCUUACACAUGCAAGUCGAACGGCAGCACGGACUUCGGUCUGGUGGCGAGUGGCGAACGGGUGAGUAAUGCAUCGGAACGUGCCAUUGAGUGGGGGAUAACGUAGCGAAAGUUGCGCUAAUACCGCAUAUUCUGUGAGCAGGAAAGCAGGGGACCGCAAGGCCUUGCGCUCUUUGAGCGGCCGAUGUCAGAUUAGCUAGUUGGUGAGGUAAAGGCUUACCAAGGCGACGAUCUGUAGCGGGUCUGAGAGGAUGAUCCGCCACACUGGGACUGAGACACGGCCCAGACUCCUACGGGAGGCAGCAGUGGGGAAUUUUGGACAAUGGGCGCAAGCCUGAUCCAGCCAUGCCGCGUGAGUGAAGAAGG